GCUGAAGCUAGCUACAGACCCUCAGGGCUCAGCUGGGAGGGAUUUAUUGGAGAAUUUCAAUCAUGGGGUCUUGGCUCAAACUUGUUGCUUCCCUCAAAAAAUCUGCCCAGAAGUUUGAUUACAUGUGGGAUUGGGGCACGAGGGGCCAGUCUGAUGAUCUCACAAUUCAGAAUUCCACCUGGGCCUCUGGGAGCAUUGCAGCCCUGAGAGGAAGAGAACAGGACACAGAAACAGCCAGCAAGAUGCAGGUUCUGACAUGAUGUAGAGUGGAAAUCUUGGACGCCUAAUGACAUAUUUCUACCCAGGAAGAAUUUUGAAUUCCGAAGGCACACUUGAUUAAAACCCCAAACCCUGAGCAGUUGCCUAUGGAACCACCCGACACUUUGAGUUCUGGGUGUCAGCGCUUAAUUAAAAUAUUCACCCAGCUGCUCUUCCCUUGCCAAGGGGACCCAAAGGAAUUAAACCAAUAAGCUUAAUUCCGUUAGGUCACCUGCCUGUGUAUACAGAGACGUGGAAGACCAUUUACCAGUUCAGAAAUAAAGUGUCAGACCCACCCAGCAAACCCAGCGUGGGCCACACAGUGAACCAGUCCCCCAGAUGGACAGCAUCACCCUCUGCCAUCUCCGUUUCCAACUUGGAACACACGCAGCUAUUUUUAAGGUCUCUUCCAGUACGACCAAAGUGACACACUAGUCAAUACAAGGAUUACUAUGCC
Molecule: long non-coding RNA, 715 nt
Filed under: Mus caroli (Ryukyu mouse)
Lineage: Eukaryota; Metazoa; Chordata; Mammalia; Rodentia; Muridae
Description: RIKEN cDNA 9430024E24 gene (MGP_CAROLIEiJ_G0005359.1)
Source: RNAcentral